AUUGAACGCUGGCGGCAGGCUUAACACAUGCAAGUCGAACGAGUGGCGGACGUGUGAGUAAUGCUUGGAACACUAGCUUAUGGAGGGGGAUAACUACUGGAAACUGUAGCUAAUACCGCGUACCAUAGGAUGAGCCCAAGUGGGAUUAGAUAGUUGGUGAGGUAACUGCUCACCAGGCCGACGAUCUCUAGCUGGUCUGAGCGGAUGACCAGACACUCGGGGACUGGGCAACGGCCCAGACUCCUACGGGAGGCAGAAGUGGGGAAUAUUGCGCAAUGGGCGCAAACUGACGCAGCAAUGCCGAGUUAAUGAAGAAGGACUUCGGGUUGUAAAGGUCUUUUGGUAGCGAGGCGUUAAUUACAGCAGAAGCACCGGCUAACGUCGUGCCAGCAGCCGCGGUAAUUC
This 405-nucleotide ribosomal RNA is filed under the name uncultured bacterium. RNAcentral describes it as "partial 16S ribosomal RNA". It matches the Rfam family "Bacterial small subunit ribosomal RNA", at positions 30 to 526 of the family's 1533-position model. The record is from RNAcentral.